Molecule: transfer RNA, 72 nt
Filed under: Ipomoea nil (Japanese morning glory)
Lineage: Eukaryota; Viridiplantae; Streptophyta; Magnoliopsida; Solanales; Convolvulaceae
Rfam family: tRNA
About the family: Transfer RNA (tRNA) molecules are approximately 80 nucleotides in length. Their secondary structure includes four short double-helical elements and three loops (D, anti-codon, and T loops).
Source: Rfam by way of RNAcentral
GGGUCCAUAGCUCAGUGGUAGAGCAUUUGACUGCAGACCAAGAGGUCAUCGGUUCGAACCCGGUUGGGCCCU